CUGGGGAGUUAUUGUCUAAUGGGCAUGGAGUUUCAGGACGGGAUGAUGCAAACAUCCUGGAACUGGAUAUUAUCACUCAUAGGAUGGGAAAUUAAUUUGCUGGCAAGUAUAAGGCGAACUGGGGCAGGUAAAAAAUGAAGGCGAGAUGUUCCACGAGGAGGCGGGCAUAAUCGCCUAGUUCCAGAUAAUGAUUCUUUGUAUCCAGACAGGAAAGGAGGCAACAAAAGCCAGGAGCCGAAUAACAAGGGACAGAUCUAGUCUCCGAUCCUCUAGAACUUACGGUGUAAAAGACAGAAACAGUCUUUCAUCCCAUCCAUCAUGCUGCCUAAUUUCUACAACGCUGCCAGAAAGGAGGCAAGACAAGGGUUCUGGCUGCCAUGUCCAAGCAUGACAACUGAGGUCCAACAAGUUAGGGCACACGGCCAGCAGCAGCAAGGACGAGCCCGAGCCCCAGCCCUGAGUCUGAACACACCUCCUCCUUCUGUACCUUGCCACCCGCCAGCUCGUAUCCCAGGCAAGCAGGGGCAUCUGCAGGUCCCGAGUACUUCUUCCCACCUAACUCCAUGCCCUUCUCCAUCGUCACAAGUCUCGACUGAUAGAAAAGUGAGGUGCAGGGGGAAAAUACUUCAAGCAAUUCCUGACUGCAUCGUUUUUAUUUCCCUUCGAGAGCCGAGGUGCGAGGAAUCAAACCACCAAGGACAUGCGUCAUGUCCAAACGCCUGACACAAAAUCGUAUUCACUUCCUUUCAUAAAUGCCAGUUUUGAAAACUUGGAAUUUACGAGUCAGGGAACAUAUUUUUUUUAAAAAGCCCUGACAUUCUAUUCUAAAUAAAUAAAUAAAUAAAAGCCCUGCCACUCUGAGGCGGGUUUUGAUCUUUCCAGUCUCUAGAAAUGAAAUUCCGAUAGGAAAAGACAAAAAGCAGAAUCCUUUGGUGGAAACAUAUAAUCAGAGGCCUUUGAUAAUAGUGCUUUUUUGAGAUGGUCACUCCACAUUUUCAGAAGGACAAAGAUUUGGGGUGGUGGGGGGAGGAACUAGGGGACAUCUGGGGAAUCUUCAAACCCAAUGGAAGCACCUGACCCGACCAAAACAAACCACGGUCUGAAAAGCGUCUUCCAGAACAGAGUGGCAAACCAUCUGUAUGACCCCCUGAGCCAGGCGUGGCAUAAGACCCCACUGCGUAGGCCGUGGUCUUCCUGUUACCUGCUGCUCUGCUCAGGUGGGUAACG
Zalophus californianus (California sea lion) is the source of this 1227-nucleotide long non-coding RNA. RefSeq lists it as uncharacterized. The transcript has 3 exons. The record is from RefSeq and is a predicted model, not a curated record. NCBI's taxonomy places the organism in Eukaryota, Metazoa, Chordata, Mammalia, Carnivora, Otariidae.